CAUGUUUCCAAUCUCCAUCCGGUCGCAGCUCGUAGCUCGCAGCCACAGCCAUAGCGCUAUUUGCUUCUCUGCUCUCCGAUCUUCCUACAGCAGACAGCAGACAGCAGACAAGAACAUUGUCAGUACAAAGGAUUCCCCAGACAAGAACAAUGUCAAUGGGUGCUUGGAAUUGGACACUACUACUAGAGGCUUGUCUGGUUCAAUGAAGAUAGGUUUGUUGCUCCUCGAGGAUUGAGCUUCUCUGGAAUCUCAGGAGGCAGAACAAAGUCAUUCAAGGGGCAGCUGAUUGGCCUUAUCUACGCAGCUCAAUAUUCAAGACUUCCUCUCUUAAGUUGUUAGUAUGUGG
Molecule: non-coding RNA, 346 nt
Organism: Cucurbita pepo subsp. pepo (vegetable marrow)
Lineage: Eukaryota; Viridiplantae; Streptophyta; Magnoliopsida; Cucurbitales; Cucurbitaceae
Source: RefSeq, a predicted model, not a curated record